This 72-nucleotide transfer RNA is filed under the name Ornithorhynchus anatinus (platypus). It matches the Rfam family "tRNA". From Rfam's summary of the family: Transfer RNA (tRNA) molecules are approximately 80 nucleotides in length. Their secondary structure includes four short double-helical elements and three loops (D, anti-codon, and T loops). Further hydrogen bonds mediate the characteristic L-shaped molecular structure. tRNAs have two regions of fundamental functional importance: the anti-codon, which is responsible for specific mRNA codon recognition, and the 3' end, to which the tRNAs corresponding amino acid is attached (by aminoacyl-tRNA synthetases). tRNAs cope with the degeneracy of the genetic code in two manners: having more than one tRNA (with a specific anti-codon) for a particular amino acid; and 'wobble' base-pairing, i.e. permitting non-standard base-pairing at the 3rd anti-codon position. The record is from Rfam by way of RNAcentral. Lineage: Eukaryota; Metazoa; Chordata; Mammalia; Monotremata; Ornithorhynchidae.
UCCCAUAUUGUUUAGUGGUUAGGAUUCCUGGUUUUCACCCAGAUGGCCUGGGUUCGACUCCCUGUAUGGGAG